AGCGAACGCUGGCGGCAGGCCUAACACAUGCAAGUCGAACGGAUCCUUCGGGAUUAGUGGCGGACGGGUGAGUAACACGUGGGAACGUGCCCUUGGGUUCGGAACAACUCAGGGAAACUUGAGCUAAUACCGGAAGUGCCCUUCGGGGGAAAGAUUUAUCGGCAUUGGAGCGGCCCGCGUCUGAUUAGCUAGUUGGUGAGGUAAAGGCUCACCAAGGCGACGAUCAGUAGCUGGUCUGAGAGGAUGAUCAGCCACAUUGGGACUGAGACACGGCCCAAACUCCUACGGGAGGCAGCAGUGGGGAAUCUUGCGCAAUGGGCGAAAGCCUGACGCAGCCAUGCCGCGUGAAUGAUGAAGGUCUUAGGAUUGUAAAAUUCUUUCACCGGGGACGAUAAUGACGGUACCCGGAGAAGAAGCCCCGGCUAACUUCGUGCCAGCCGCCGCGGUAA
This 449-nucleotide ribosomal RNA is filed under the name uncultured bacterium. RNAcentral's name for it is "partial 16S ribosomal RNA". It matches the Rfam family "Bacterial small subunit ribosomal RNA", at positions 29 to 523 of the family's 1533-position model. The record is from RNAcentral.